RNAcentral lists this ribosomal RNA (212 nucleotides) under Letharia vulpina. RNAcentral's name for it is "small subunit ribosomal RNA". It matches the Rfam family "Eukaryotic small subunit ribosomal RNA", at positions 307 to 518 of the family's 1831-position model. The record is from RNAcentral. Lineage: Eukaryota; Fungi; Ascomycota; Lecanoromycetes; Lecanorales; Parmeliaceae.
CUGCCCUAUCAACUUUCGAUGGUAGGAUAGUGGCCUACCAUGGUUUCUACGGGUAACGGGGAAUUAGGGUUCUAUUCCGGAGAGGGAGCCUGAGAAACGGCUACCACAUCCAAGGAAGGCAGCAGGCGCGCAAAUUACCCAAUCCCGACACGGGGAGGUAGUGACAAUAAAUACUGAUACAGGGCUCUUUUGGGUCUUGUAAUUGGAAUGAG